RNAcentral lists this long non-coding RNA (375 nucleotides) under Nicotiana benthamiana. Its description in RNAcentral is "long non-coding RNA (NBEN_LNC015778)". Lineage: Eukaryota; Viridiplantae; Streptophyta; Magnoliopsida; Solanales; Solanaceae. The record is from RNAcentral.
UCUACUAUACAUCCUCUCUAUGUUGGGGGAGGGAAAAGAAGUUGUGAGAACCAGCGUAUUAUCUCAGCGAUGGCGGUUUCUUUGGAAGUCCGUUGCAGUUUCACUCAAUUUCGGCGUCCUCAAUUACCCCUAUGAUGAAAGAACCAAAAAGAAAAUUCUUGCUUCCGUAGCUUCCAUCAAUAGAGAGCUUCAUUAUUGGAGGUCUUGCGAGAAAAUCAAAGCAUUUGAUUACCCCUAUGAUGGAAGAAUCAAAAAGAAAAUUCUUGCUUUCGUAGCUUCAAUCAAUAGAGAGCUUCAUUAUUGGAGGUCUUGCGAGAAAAUCAAAGCAUUUAGGGUUUUUCCCGUUAAAUACAAAGAGUAUCUUGUUAAAGAUGU